GAUGAACGCUGGCGGCGUGCCUAAUACAUGCAAGUCGAGCGAACGGACGAGAAGCUUGCUUCUCUGAUGUUAGCGGCGGACGGGUGAGUAACACGUGGAUAACCUACCUAUAAGACUGGGAUAACUUCGGGAAACCGGAGCUAAUACCGGAUAAUAUUUUGAACCGCAUGGUUCAAAAGUAAAAGACGGUCUUGCUGUCACUUACAGAUGGAUCCGCGCUGCAUUAGCUAGUUGGUAAGGUAACGGCUUACCAAGGCAACGAUGCAUAGCCGACCUGAGAGGGUGAUCGGCCACACUGGAACUGAGACACGGUCCAAACUCCUACGGGAGGCAGCAGUAGGGAAUCUUCCGCAAUGGGCGAAAGCCUGACGGAGCAACGCCGCGUGAGUGAUGAAGGUCUUCGGAUCGUAAAACUCUGUUAUUAGGGAAGAACAUAUGUGUAAGUAACUGUGCACAUCUUGACGGUACCUAAUCAGAAAGCCACGGCUAACUACGUG
Molecule: ribosomal RNA, 497 nt
Filed under: uncultured bacterium
Lineage: Bacteria
Description: partial 16S ribosomal RNA
Rfam family: Bacterial small subunit ribosomal RNA
Source: RNAcentral